CCUUGCCAGCCCGCUCAGAACUCAAAGGAAUUGACGGGGCCCGCACAAGCGUGGAGUAUGUGGUUAAUUCGAUGCAACGCGAAGAACCUUACCUGGUCUUGACAUCCCGGAGACCCUUAGGAAACUAGGGGGUGCUUCCAUCUGGAAGAAUCUGGAGACAGGUGCUGCAUGGCUGUCGUCAGCUCGUGUCGUGAGAUGUUGGGUUAAGUCCCGCAACGAGCGCAACCCUUGCCUUUAGUUGCCAGCAGUUCGGCUGGGCACUCUAAAGGGACUGCCGGUGUUAAACCGGAGGAAGGUGGGGAUGACGUCAAGUCCUCAUGGCCUUUAUGACCAGGGCUACACACGUACUACAAUGGCCGAUACAAAGGGCAGCGACACUGCGAGGUGAAGCCAAUCCCGUAAAAUCGGUCUCAGUCCGGAUUGGAGUCUGCAACUCGACUCCAUGAAGUUGGAAUCGCUAGUAAUCGUGGAUCAGCAUGCCACGGUGAAUACGUUCCCGGGCCUU
Molecule: ribosomal RNA, 505 nt
Filed under: uncultured Desulfobulbus sp.
Lineage: Bacteria; Pseudomonadati; Thermodesulfobacteriota; Desulfobulbia; Desulfobulbales; Desulfobulbaceae
Description: bacterial SSU rRNA
Rfam family: Bacterial small subunit ribosomal RNA
Source: RNAcentral